AGGGGACCAUUUCCCGCCGUUCCUUUUCACAUUGCAAGUCGAACGAACCUUCGGGUUAGUGGCGGACGGGUGAGUGACGCGUGGGAAUCUGCCCUCAGGAGGGGGAUAACGGCUGGAAACGGCCGCUAAUACCCCAUAUGCCGAGAGGUGAAAUGAAUUUCGCCUGAGGAUGAGCCCGCGUCUGAUUAGCUAGUUGGUGAGGUAAGAGCUCACCAAGGCAUCGAUCAGUAGCUGUUCUGAGAGGAUGAUCAGCCACACUGGGACUGAGACACGGCCCAGACUCCUACGGGAGGCAGCAGUGGGGAAUUUUCCGCAAUGGGCGAAAGCCUGACGGAGCAACGCCGCGUGAGGGAUGAAGGCCUCUGGGCUGUAAACCUCUUUUCUCAAGGAAGAAGAUCUGACGGUACUUGAGGAAUAAGCCACGGCUAAUUCCGUGCCAGCAGCCGCGGUAAUACGGGAGUGGCAAGCGUUAUCCGGAAUUAUUGGGCGUAAAGCGUCCGCAGGCGGCCCUUCAAGUCUGCUGUUAAAACGUGGAGCUUAACUCCAUCAUGGCAGUGGAAACUGUUGGGCUUGAGUGUGGUAGGGGCAGAGGGAAUUCCCGGUGUAGCGGUGAAAUGCGUAGAUAUCGGGAAGAACACCAGUGGCGAAGGCGCUCUGCUGGGCCAUAACUGACGCUCAUGGACGAAAGCCAGGGGAGCGAAAGGGAUUAGAUACCCCUGUAGUCCUGGCCGUAAACGAUGAACACUAGGUGUCGGGGGAAUCGACCCCCUCGGUGUCGUAGCCAACGCGUUAAGUGUUCCGCCUGGGGAGUACGCACGCAAGUGUGAAACUCAAAGGAAUUGACGGGGGCCCGCACAGCGGUGGAGUAUGUGGUUUAUUUCGAUGCAACGCGAAGAACCUUUACCAGGGUUUGACAUCCUGCGAAUCUCUUGGAAACGGGAGAGUGCCUUCGGGAACGCAGUGACAGGUGGGGCAUGGGCUGUCGUCAGCUCGUGUCGUGAGAUGUUGGGUUAAGUCCCGCAACGAGCGCAACCCACGUCUUUUAGUUGCCAGCAUUUAAGUUGGGGCACUCUAGAGAGACCGCCUGUGAUAAACCGGGAGGAAGGGGUGGAAUGACGUCAAGGUCAUCAUGCCCCUUAACUUCC
This 1145-nucleotide ribosomal RNA is filed under the name uncultured bacterium. RNAcentral describes it as "bacterial SSU rRNA". It matches the Rfam family "Bacterial small subunit ribosomal RNA", at positions 26 to 1209 of the family's 1533-position model. The record is from RNAcentral.